GAUGAACGCUAGCUACAGGCUUAACACAUGCAAGUCGAGGGGAAACGACAUCGAAAGCUUGCUUUUGAUGGGCGUCGACCGGCGCACGGGUGAGUAACGCGUAUCCAACCUGCCCAUCACUUGGGAAUAACCUUGCGAAAGUAAGACUAAUACCCAAUGACAUCCCACGAAGACAUCUGAAUGGGAUUAAAGAUUUAUCGGUGAUGGAUGGGGAUGCGUCUGAUUAGCUUGUUGGCGAGGUAACGGCCCACCAAGGCAACGAUCAGUAGGGGUUCUGAGAGGAAGGUCCCCCACAUUGGAACUGAGACACGGUCCAAACUCCUACGGGAGGCAGCAGUGAGGAAUAUUGGUCAAUGGGCGAGAGCCUGAACCAGCCAAGUAGCGUGCAGGAUGACGGCCCUAUGGGUUGUAAACUGCUUUUAUAAGGGAAUAAAGUGGGUCUCGUGAGACUUUUUGCAUGUACCUUAUGAAUAAGAACCGGCUAAUUCCGUG
Molecule: ribosomal RNA, 492 nt
Filed under: uncultured bacterium
Lineage: Bacteria
Description: partial 16S ribosomal RNA
Rfam family: Bacterial small subunit ribosomal RNA
Source: RNAcentral